UGAUCUUUACUGUGUGGUUUUGACUUAACUUGAGACCAACAGUGACGCCCACUGAGUUCUUAGCCAAGAAAGUAAUCCAUGAUGCCACAACCGAAGAGAAAGAGAGUUGUACCACCAAGCAUAACAGAGGGUAAUGGUGAAGCCCCUGCAUGUUACUGAUGGCAUUAUAUUCACUUUGUUUAUCUGCUAUGUGCUGGAUCCUUAUAGAAAAAUAUGGGUCCUCAUGUUUGGAUAAUUAAUGGUUUGUGGGGGGUAGGUGAUAUAGACUAUACACGAAGGAAGUGUCUGGACGAGGUAUCAUCGUCGACGAUGAGGAGGAUGGCGGCGUGUGGAGCUGGAGCAAGGGGGUGGCGCAGGGUGAAAGAGGAGGCACAAGAGUGAUAGGGAAGUGGUGGAGUUAUUGAGGGAAAACCCUCCUAGUUCAUUAAUCAAAAUCGAUUACAUCCGUGUGGAACCCUACUAAA
RNAcentral lists this long non-coding RNA (464 nucleotides) under Setaria italica (foxtail millet). RNAcentral describes it as "long non-coding RNA (SITA_LNC002559)". The record is from RNAcentral. Lineage: Eukaryota; Viridiplantae; Streptophyta; Magnoliopsida; Poales; Poaceae.